GAUGAACGCUGGCGGCGUGCCUAAUACAUGCAAGUCGAGCGAAUGGAUUAAGAGCUUGCUCUUAUGAAGUUAGCGGCGGACGGGUGAGUAACACGUGGGUAACCUGCCCAUAAGACUGGGAUAACUCCGGGAAACCGGGGCUAAUACCGGAUAACAUUUUGAACCGCAUGGUUCGAAAUUGAAAGGCGGCUUCGGCUGUCACUUAUGGAUGGACCCGCGUCGCAUUAGCUAGUUGGUGAGGUAACGGCUCACCAAGGCAACGAUGCGUAGCCGGCCUGGGAGGGUGAUCGGGCACACUGGGAAUGGAACACGGCCCAGACUCCUACGGGAGGCAGCAGUAGGGAAUCUUCCGCAAUGGACGAAAGUCUGACGGAGCAACGCCGCGUGAGUGAUGAAGGCUUUCGGGUCGUAAAACUCUGUUGUUAGGGAAGAACAAGUGCUAGUUGAAUAAGCUGGCACCUUGACGGUACCUAACCAGAAAGCCACGGCUAACUACGUGCCAGCCGCCGCAGUAA
This 515-nucleotide ribosomal RNA is filed under the name uncultured bacterium. RNAcentral describes it as "partial 16S ribosomal RNA". It matches the Rfam family "Bacterial small subunit ribosomal RNA", at positions 28 to 523 of the family's 1533-position model. The record is from RNAcentral.